RNAcentral lists this ribosomal RNA (436 nucleotides) under bacterium FB3002. RNAcentral describes it as "bacterial SSU rRNA". It matches the Rfam family "Bacterial small subunit ribosomal RNA", at positions 28 to 455 of the family's 1533-position model. The record is from RNAcentral.
GAUGAACGCUGGCGGCGUGCUUAACACAUGCAAGUCGAACGGAGAUUUACCACCUGCUUGCAGGAGGUAAAUCUUAGUGGCGGACGGGUGAGUAACGCGUGGGUAACCUGCCUCACACAGGGGGAUAACAGUUGGAAACGACUGUUAAUACCGCAUAAGCGCACGGUAUCGCAUGAUACAGUGUGAAAAACUCCGGUGGUGUGAGAUGGACCCGCGUCUGAUUAGCUAGUUGGUGAGGUAACGGCCCACCAAGGCGACGAUCAGUAGCCGGCCUGAGAGGGUAAACGGCCACAUUGGGACUGAGACACGGCCCAAACUCCUACGGGAGGCAGCAGUGGGGAAUAUUGCACAAUGGGGGAAACCCUGAUGCAGCGACGCCGCGUGAGUGAUGAAGUAUUUCGGUACGUAAAACUCUAUCAGCAGCGAAGAAAAUGAC